GACUCUCCUGUCACAAUUGCUGAUUGGAGCGUCCAAGCAAUUGUCAGCUGGGUACUGUCCGAGGCUUAUGGCAGUAACGUCUCUAUUGUUGCUGAAGAAGAUGUAGAAGCUCUUUCCAAGGCUAGCGCAGCUGGUCUGUUAGAAGCAGUAGUAAGAACUGUGAAUGAGUGUCUAGCCGAUGCUCCUCGUUUUGGACUGAAAGGUCCUGGUACUGAUCUGGAUGCUAAAGCUGUUCUUGAGGCCAUAAGUCGUUGCAGCUUAGCAGGUGCCAGAGGUAGCAAGUUUUGGGUACUGGAUCCUGUUGAUGGCACGUUGGGUUUCGUGCGUGGAGAU
RNAcentral lists this unclassified non-coding RNA (333 nucleotides) under Hevea brasiliensis (rubber tree). Lineage: Eukaryota; Viridiplantae; Streptophyta; Magnoliopsida; Malpighiales; Euphorbiaceae. The record is from RNAcentral.